Molecule: unclassified non-coding RNA, 377 nt
Filed under: plant metagenome
Description: partial contains 5.8S ribosomal RNA, internal transcribed spacer 2, and large subunit ribosomal RNA
Rfam family: 5.8S ribosomal RNA (bases 1-104)
Source: RNAcentral
AAAUGCGAUAAGUAAUGCGAAUUGCAGAAUUCAGUGAAUCAUCGAAUCUUUGAACGCACAUUGCGCUCCUUGGUAUUCCUUGGAGCAUGCCUGUUUGAGUAUCAUGAAAUCUUCAAAGUAAAUCUUUUGUUAACUCAAUUGGUUUCUACUUUGGUAUUGGAGGUCUUUGCAGCUUCACACCUGCUCCUCUUUGUUCAUUAGCUGGAUCUCAGUGUUAUGCUUGGUUCCACUCGGCGUGAUAAGUUAUCUAUCGCUGAGGACACUGUAAAAGGUGGCCAAGGUAAAUGCAGAUGAACCGCUUCUAAUAGUCCAUUGACUUGGACAAUACUUUUAUGAUCUGAUCUCAAAUCAGGUAGGACUACCCGCUGAACUUAAGC